Molecule: small nuclear RNA, 180 nt
Filed under: Nomascus leucogenys (northern white-cheeked gibbon)
Lineage: Eukaryota; Metazoa; Chordata; Mammalia; Primates; Hylobatidae
Description: U2 spliceosomal RNA
Rfam family: U2 spliceosomal RNA
About the family: U2 is a small nuclear RNA (snRNA) component of the spliceosome (involved in pre-mRNA splicing). Complementary binding between U2 snRNA (in an area lying towards the 5' end but 3' to hairpin I) and the branchpoint sequence (BPS) of the intron results the bulging out of an unpaired adenosine, on the BPS, which initiates a nucleophilic attack at the intronic 5' splice site, thus starting the first of two transesterification reactions that mediate splicing.
Source: Rfam by way of RNAcentral
AUCGCUUCUCGGCCUUUAUGGCUAAGAUCAAGUGUAGUAUCUGUUCUUAUCAGUUUAAUCAUAUAUAUGUGUGUGUGUGUGUAGUUGACAUAUUGCUGCAAAUACAUACUGUGCUAUAAAGUAGUCAUAAUUUCUGAUAGCAAAAUUCAUGACUGAAUACACAAAUAUUUCACACUGCAA